AUUGAACGCUGGCGGCAGGCCUAACACAUGCAAGUCGAACGGUAGCACAGAGAGCUUGCUCUCGGGUGACGAGUGGCGGACGGGUGAGUAACGUCUGGGAAACUGCCCGAUGGAGGGGGAUAACUACUGGAAACGGUAGCUAAUACCGCAUAACGUCGCAAGACCAAAGUGGGGGGCCUUCGGGCCUCACACCAUCGGAUGUGCCCAGAUGGGAUUAGCUAGUAGGUGGGGUAAUGGCUCACCUAGGCGACGAUCCCUAGCUGGUCUGAGAGGAUGACCAGCCACGCUGGAACUGAGACACGGUCCAGACUCCUACGGGAGGCAGCAGUGGGGAAUAUUGCACAAUGGGCGCAAGCCUGAUGCAGCCAUGCCGCGUGUAUGAAGAAGGCCUUCGGGUUGUAAAGUACUUUCAGCGGGGAGGAAGGCGGUGAAGUUAAUAACUUCACCGAUUGACGUUACCCGCAGAAGAAGCACCGGCUAACUCCGUGCCAGCCGCCGCGGUAA
This 504-nucleotide ribosomal RNA is filed under the name uncultured bacterium. RNAcentral describes it as "partial 16S ribosomal RNA". It matches the Rfam family "Bacterial small subunit ribosomal RNA", at positions 29 to 523 of the family's 1533-position model. The record is from RNAcentral.